CGAGACCGGGGCUGGAGGCGGGCCGAGGCCGCGAGUUGAGCCUCAGGAAGCAGAAGGGGCGCGGAAAGAUGCGAUUGACGUCGCAAGCGAACCAAUGACGAGCGAGCUGUGGCAGGCCUCCAGCCAAUGGGCAGUGAGGCCUGACGCGGGGGGCGGACGCUGGGGCCGAGGGUAGCUUGAGCGCGGCGGCGGCGUUGUUCAGUCAGAGCGAGAACAUUCCAGAGGUCGCCCAGCUCCGGCGCUGACGGGUGUGGACCGCGGACGUCGCUGGGACAGCCCCUCCCCGCUGCUCGGCGGCGGCACCUGGCCCGGCCGCUCCUCGCUGCGCUUCGCCUCCGCCUCCUCGGACUCGGACUCGGGUUUAUAUCGCGCCUCACUUCAUCCCAGUCCCGGGCGAGCAGCGUUGGGUUUAUGUCUUUAUUUGACGAAAACGAGCUGUUGCGCAGCCAUUGGUACCUGUAUUGGGGAAACAUAGCAUACAAGCAAGAAGCUUACAGCCUCAGUGGCGAAAAUUUUUUCAUGUCAGAGACCGAGAACUCUUGCAGUCGUUUAUGUCAUCCCUUCUUCUCCAGACAGAAGAUACCAAAAAGUUGCAAUCAAAGAUCUCUUCAUCUUAUUGAUAAAGCCACUAAUAAGCCAAAAUGUCUGUCAAUGUCAACCGCAGCGUGUCAGACCAGUUCUAUCGCUACAAGAUGCCCCGUCUGAUUGCCAAGGUUGAGGGCAAAGGCAAUGGAAUCAAGACAGUUAUAGUCAACAUGGUUGACGUUGCAAAGGCGCUUAAUCGGCCUCCAACGUAUCCCACCAAAUAUUUUGGUUGUGAGCUGGGAGCACAGACCCAGUUUGAUGUUAAGAAUGACCGUUACAUUGUCAAUGGAUCUCAUGAGGCGAAUAAGCUGCAAGACAUGUUGGAUGGAUUCAUUAAAAAAUUUGUUCUCUGUCCUGAAUGUGAGAAUCCUGAAACAGAUUUGCAUGUCAAUCCAAAGAAGCAAACAAUAGGUAAUUCUUGUAAAGCCUGUGGCUAUCGAGGCAUGCUUGACACACAUCAUAAACUCUGCACAUUCAUUCUCAAAAACCCACCUGAGAAUAGUGACAGUGGUACAGGAAAG
RNAcentral lists this long non-coding RNA (1106 nucleotides) under Homo sapiens (human). RNAcentral describes it as "long non-coding RNA NONHSAT168994.1". Lineage: Eukaryota; Metazoa; Chordata; Mammalia; Primates; Hominidae. The record is from RNAcentral.